Long non-coding RNA from Oncorhynchus keta (chum salmon), 2156 nucleotides. RefSeq lists it as uncharacterized. The transcript has 4 exons. The record is from RefSeq and is a predicted model, not a curated record. Lineage: Eukaryota; Metazoa; Chordata; Actinopteri; Salmoniformes; Salmonidae.
GCAGUGGAUACAAGGGUAUAAUAGGGAGGUGGAAAGUCAUUGUUUCUCCUUCUUUUCUAAUCAUUUACCAUUAUUCCUUUAAUGUUCUUAUCUGCCCUUCUCUGCUUCUUUUUCCCACUUCUUAAAAUCAUCCCAGUCUAUUCUACUCGCCUCGCCUUUCUUGGUUAAUCUCUCAAAGUCCUGUAACUUCUUUCUACAUUCUGCUAACAAAAUUUCACUUAAUGUGCCUUUCAAGGGAAAGUCUUCUACCUUGUGCCAGAGCGGUACCUGUUCCCGAAUGUUCCUGCCCCACUUAUCCACCAUUACCUUCACCUGGUCCAGUCUGCGGGUUGGGCCGACAGGGUUCUCCCCUGCUGCUCUUGGCUCCCAUUUGGAAACUCUAUCUAUACACACACACUCAAAAACAAACACACAAAACAAGCAAUAUUUAGUUAGGGACCUCAUUCUUUCUUCAAAUGAAAUAUGGGUUAACUCAAAAAUAAAUGCAUCAUAGGUUAACUCAAAAGGGUUUGUUUCUUCACCAUCAAAAUAUUUUGUCAUUUCUUUAUGUGAUUUAGAAUUCUGUACCCAUACAGUAUUUCCCCCUAUUUCCCCCUGUGUUUUAUCCCAAGUAUAACCAAUUCACCUACGGCUCCAUUGGUCAAAUUGCUCCUUCCAAAAUAAUGUGCUAACCUGCAGGAAUAGUUUCUUACUUCUAUCUCAGGACCCUGUCCUGGAAUCACAUAACUCAUGGAUUUACAUCUGACUUUUACAAACCAUGGCAUAUUAAUUCAUAUUAAUUUAGUACUUUGCCAAAUAAUGUGUUAUAAAGCAGGGUUUUCUCCACACACAGUAGAGCCCUACUUGUCACUAAGACAAGGUUUUCUCCACACACAGUAGAGCCCUCCUUGUCACUAAGACAAGGUUUUCUCCACACACAGUAGAGCCCUCCUUGUCACUAAGACAAGGUUUUCUCCACACACAGUAGAGCCCUACUUGUCACUAAGACAAGGUUUUCUCCACACACAGUAGAGCCCUACUUGUCACUAAGACAAGGUUUUCUCCACACACAGUAGAGCCCUCCUUGUCACUAAGACAAGGUUUUCUACACACACAGUAGAGCCCUCCUUGUCACUAAGACAAGGUUUUCUCCACACACAGUAGAGCCCUCCUUGUCACUAAGACAAGGUUUUCUCCACACACAGUAGAGCCCGCCUUGUCACUAAGACAAGGUUUUCUCCACACACAGUAGAGCCCGCCUUGUCACUAAGACAAGGUUUUCUUCACACACAGUAGAGCCCUCCUUGUCACUAAGACAAGGUUUUCUUCACACACAGUAGAGCCCGCCUUGUCACUAAGACAAGGUUUUCUCCACACACAGUAGAGCCCUCCUUGUCACUAAGACAAGGUUUUCUCCACACACAGUAGAGCCCGCCUUGUCACUAAGACAAGGUUUUCUUCACACACAGUAGAGCCCUCCUUGUCACUAAGACAAGGUUUUCUUCACACACAGUAGAGCCCGCCUUGUCACUAAGACAAGGUUUUCUUCACACACAGUAGAGCCCUCCUUGUCACUAAGACAAGGUUUUCUUCACACACAGUAGAGCCCGCCUUGUCACUAAGACAAGGUUUUCUCCACACACAGUAGAGCCCGCCUUGUCACUAAGACAAGGUUUUCUCCACACACAGUAGAGCCCUCCUUGUCACUAAGACAAGGUUUUCUCCACACACAGUAGAGCCCUCCUUGUCACUAAGACAAGGUUUUCUUCACACACAGUAGAGCCCUACUUGUCACUAAGACAAGGUUUUCUCCACACACAGUAGAGCCCUACUUGUCACUAAGACAAGGUUUUCUCCACACACAGUAGAGCCCUCCUUGUCACUAAGACAAGGUUUUCUUCAUACACAGUAGAGCCCUCCUUGUCACUAAGACAAGGUUUUCUCCACACACAGUAGAGCCCUCCUUGUCACUAAGACAAGGUUUUCUCCACACACAGUAGAGCCCUCCUUGUCACUAAGACAAGGUUUUCUCCACACACAGUAGAGCCCUCCUUGUCACUAAGACAAGGUUUUCUCCACACACAUUAGAGCCCUCCUUGUCACUAAGACAAGGUUUUCUCCACACACAGUAGAGCCCUACUUGUCACUAAGACAAGGUCUUCUUCACACACAGUGAA